CUGCACGUAGCACCAGAUGCUCUUGCUGUUGAAGUUUGGGCACAGAGAGCCCUCUGGGGCCCCAAGCUCCUGUUGUUUCCCAAACGCCCACCUAUUCUCUCCCUUUCCAUAUUGUUCACAAAAACAAUCCACUAUUCUUACUAUCAUGCAACUUGGAAAUCUGUGUGAUCCCUUAAGGGUAGAAAAAAAUAAACAUGAGCAAGCCAGAAAAAGAUGACGGAAACAAGGUCAAGAGCUGACAACUUACUUUCAUCUUACAGAGGUCAACAGAAAGGGCAAAGAAGACAAGCAGGAAUCCCGUCUCAGUUCACGUGCCUGUACUGUUCGGUCAAACCCCACGAGAUUACCAACACUCACCUUGUUGAUCUCCAGAACUGAAAGUUUGUGAACAACGGAGUCCCCAGGAGCACCCGGUAUCCACACUGUUUUAUCUUGUCUUAUUUGAUUUUUUGCCCUUAUUGUGAUCAUUACAGUGAAGGAUCUAUUGAGAAUAAACAAUGUGUGAAGCACCAUUCUAAACAUUUAUGCUAAUCUAUUUAAUCCUAACAAAACACUGUCCACAGGUACUAUUAUUAUUCCCAUUGUACACAACUGGAAAGAGCUGGGAUGGGACUUUGAACCCCAGGGCCAGACUCUGCCCACGUCAAACACAAUAUGAGCUGCUUCUGGUGCGAGUUCAGACUUCUGUCACUUACCGUUCUGACAAAUCGCAUCCUAGCGUUUUGUAAAGUGGAAGCUAAG
Molecule: long non-coding RNA, 741 nt
Organism: Manis pentadactyla (Chinese pangolin)
Lineage: Eukaryota; Metazoa; Chordata; Mammalia; Pholidota; Manidae
Exons: 3
Source: RefSeq, a predicted model, not a curated record